This 460-nucleotide ribosomal RNA is filed under the name uncultured bacterium. RNAcentral describes it as "partial 16S ribosomal RNA". It matches the Rfam family "Bacterial small subunit ribosomal RNA", at positions 338 to 795 of the family's 1533-position model. The record is from RNAcentral.
CCUACGGGAGGCAGCAGUGAGGAAUAUUGGUCAAUGGGCGCGAGCCUGAACCAGCCAAGUAGCGUGAAGGAUGACUGCCCUACGGGUUGUAAACUUCUUUUAUAAAGGAAUAAAGUGAGGCACGUGUGCCUUUUUGUAUGUAUUUUAUGAAUAAGGAUCGGCUUACUCCGUGCCAGCCGCCGCGGUAAUACGGAGGAUCCGAGCGUUAUCCGGUAUUUUUGGGUUUAAAGGGAGCGUAGAUGGGUUGUUAAGUCAGUUGUGUAAUUUUGCGGAUCAACCGUAAAAUUGCAAUGGAUACUGGCAGCCUUGAGUACAGUUGAGGUAGGCGGAAUUCGUGGUGUAGCGGUGAAAUGCUUAGAUAUCACGAAGAACUCCGAUUGCGAAGGCAGCCUACUAAACUGCCACUGACAUUGAUGCUCGAAAGUGUGGGUAUCAAACAGGAUUAGAUACCCUAGUAGUC